This 701-nucleotide long non-coding RNA is filed under the name Vitis vinifera (wine grape). RNAcentral describes it as "long non-coding RNA (VVIN_LNC005258)". The record is from RNAcentral. Lineage: Eukaryota; Viridiplantae; Streptophyta; Magnoliopsida; Vitales; Vitaceae.
CGGUACUCGCACGGAUUCUACCAUUUCCCGGUAUUCGCCGGGAUUUUACGAUUUUUCGUUAUUCGCUCGGAUUCUACCAUUUUCAUUUAGUCACACUGAUUCAACCCUUUUCCGGUACUCGCCCGAACAGUUUUUCGGUACUCGCACGGAUUCUACCAUUUCCCGGUAUUCGUUGGGAUUUUACGAUUUUUCGGUAUUCGCCCGGAUUCUACCAUUUUCAUUCAGUCACACUGAUUCAACCCUUUUCCGAUACUCGCCCGGAGAGUUUUUCGGUAUUCGCACGGAUUCUACCAUUUCCCGGUAUUCGCCGGGAUUUUACGAUUUUUCGGUAUUCGCUCGGAUUCUACCAUUGUCAUUUAGUCACACUGAUUGAACCCUUAUCCGGUACUCGCCUGGAGAGUUUUUCGAUACUCGCACGGAUUCUACCAUUUCCCAGUAUUCGGUUGGAUUUUACGAUUUUUCGGUAUUCGCUCGGAUUCUACCAUUUUCAUUUAGUCACACUGAUUCAACCCUUUUUCGGUACUCGCCCGAACAGUUUUUCAGUAGUCGCACGGAUUCUACCAUUUCCUGGUAUUCGUUGGGAUUUUACGAUUUUUCGGUAUUCGCUCGGAUUCUACCAUUGUCAUUUAGUCACACUGAUUGAACCCUUAUCCGGUACUCGCCUGAAGAGUUUUUCGAUACUCGCACGGAUUCUACCAUUU